GCCAGUGUGGCAUAGUGCUUCGCGUGUUGGACUACGACUCUGGAGAUCAGGGUUCGAUUCCCAGCUCAGCCA
Molecule: transfer RNA, 72 nt
Filed under: Phrynosoma platyrhinos (Desert horned lizard)
Lineage: Eukaryota; Metazoa; Chordata; Lepidosauria; Squamata; Phrynosomatidae
Description: tRNA-OTHER
Source: RNAcentral